This 639-nucleotide ribosomal RNA is filed under the name Halomonas sp. HXG-D24. Its description in RNAcentral is "bacterial SSU rRNA". It matches the Rfam family "Bacterial small subunit ribosomal RNA", at positions 52 to 689 of the family's 1533-position model. Lineage: Bacteria; Pseudomonadati; Pseudomonadota; Gammaproteobacteria; Oceanospirillales; Halomonadaceae. The record is from RNAcentral.
CACAAUCAAGUCGAGCGGUACAGGGGUAGCUUGCUACCCGCUGACGAGCGGCGGACGGGUGAGUAAUGCAUAGGAAUCUGCCCGAUAGUGGGGGAUAACCUGGGGAAACCCAGGCUAAUACCGCAUACGUCCUACGGGAGAAAGGGGGCUUCGGCUCCCGCUAUUGGAUGAGCCUAUGUCGGAUUAGCUAGUUGGUAAGGUAAUGGCUUACCAAGGCAACGAUCCGUAGCUGGUCUGAGAGGAUGAUCAGCCACAUCGGGACUGAGACACGGCCCGAACUCCUACGGGAGGCAGCAGUGGGGAAUAUUGGACAAUGGGGGCAACCCUGAUCCAGCCAUGCCGCGUGUGUGAAGAAGGCCCUCGGGUUGUAAAGCACUUUCAGCGAGGAAGAACGCCUAUCGGUUAAUACCCGGUAGGAAAGACAUCACUCGCAGAAGAAGCACCGGCUAACUCCGUGCCAGCAGCCGCGGUAAUACGGAGGGUGCAAGCGUUAAUCGGAAUUACUGGGCGUAAAGCGCGCGUAGGUGGCUUGAUAAGCCGGUUGUGAAAGCCCCGGGCUCAACCUGGGAACGGCAUCCGGAACUGUCAUGCUAGAGUGCAGGAGAGGAAGGUAGAAUUCCCGGUGUAGCGGUGAAAUGU